UACGUAGGGGGCAAGCGUUGUCCGGAUUCAUUGGGCGUAAAGAGCGUGUAGGCGGCCAUACAGGUCCGUUGUGAAAACUCGAGGCUCAACCUCGAGACGUCGAUGGAAACCGUAUGGCUAGAGUCCGGAAGAGGAGAGUGGAAUUCCUGGUGUAGCGGUGAAAUGCGCAGAUAUCAGGAAGAACACCCGUGGCGAAGGCGGCUCUCUGGGACGGUACUGACGCUGAGACGCGAAAGCGUGGGGAGCGAACAGG
This 253-nucleotide ribosomal RNA is filed under the name uncultured bacterium. RNAcentral describes it as "partial 16S ribosomal RNA". It matches the Rfam family "Bacterial small subunit ribosomal RNA", at positions 524 to 776 of the family's 1533-position model. The record is from RNAcentral.